AUUGAACGCUGGCGGCAUGCCUUACACAUGCAAGUCGAACGGUAACAGGUCUUUCGGGAUGCUGACGAGUGGCGAACGGGUGAGUAAUACAUCGGAACGUGCCUAGUAGUGGGGGAUAACUACUCGAAAGAGUGGCUAAUACCGCAUGAGAUCUAUGGAUGAAAGCAGGGGACCUUUGGGCCUUGUGCUACUAGAGCGGCCGAUGGCAGAUUAGGUAGUUGGUGGGAUAAAAGCUUACCAAGCCUACGAUCUGUAGCUGGUCUGAGAGGACGAUCAGCCACACUGGGACUGAGACACGGCCCAGACUCCUACGGGAGGCAGCAGUGGGGAAUUUUGGACAAUGGGCGCAAGCCUGAUCCAGCAAUGCCGCGUGCAGGAUGAAGGCCUUCGGGUUGUAAACUGCUUUUGUACGGAACGAAAAGGCUUGGGUUAAUACCCUGGGAUCAUGACGGUACCGUAAGAAUAAGCACCGGCUAACUACGUG
This 484-nucleotide ribosomal RNA is filed under the name uncultured bacterium. Its description in RNAcentral is "partial 16S ribosomal RNA". It matches the Rfam family "Bacterial small subunit ribosomal RNA", at positions 30 to 507 of the family's 1533-position model. The record is from RNAcentral.